Molecule: ribosomal RNA, 265 nt
Filed under: uncultured archaeon
Lineage: Archaea
Description: partial 16S ribosomal RNA
Rfam family: Archaeal small subunit ribosomal RNA
Source: RNAcentral
AGUCACUGACAUUAGAUACCCGCGUAGUCCAGGGUGUAAACGCUGCAGACUUGGUGUUGGAAGUCCUUUGGGGGCAUUCAGUGCCGGAGAGAAGUUGUUAAGUCUGCUACUUGGGGAGUACGUCCGCAAGGAUGAAACUUAAAGGAAUUGGCGGGGGAGCACCGCAACGGGAGGAGCGUGCGGUUUAAUUGGAUUCAACGCCGGAAAUCUCACCGGAUAGGACAGACAUAUGAUAGUCGGGCUGAAGACUCUACUUGAUGAUCUG